AGUGAACGCUGGCGGUAGGCCUAACACAUGCAAGUCGAACGGCAGCACAGUAAGAGCUUGCUCUUACGGGUGGCGAGUGGCGGACGGGUGAGGAAUACAUCGGAAACUACUUUUUCGUGGGGGAUAACGUAGGGAAACUUACGCUAAUACCGCAUACGACCUACGGGUGAAAGCAGGGGAUCUUCGGACCUUGCGCGAUUGAAUGAGCCGAUGUCGGAUUAGCUAGUUGGCGGGGUAAAGGCCCACCAAGGCGACGAUCGGUAGCUGGUCUGAGGGGAUGAUCCGCCACACUGGCACAGAGACACGGUCCAGACACCUAGAGGGGGACACGGUGGAGAAUCUUGGACGAGGGAGGAGAGCCUGAUACAGCAAUACCGGGGGAGUGAUGAUGGCGUUAGGGUGGUAGAGCCAUUUAGUUGGGAGAGAAGUGCAGCAGUUUAAUCCCCGACGGUAAUGACGGUACCCAAAGAAUAAGCACCGGCUAACUCCGUG
Molecule: ribosomal RNA, 492 nt
Filed under: uncultured bacterium
Lineage: Bacteria
Description: partial 16S ribosomal RNA
Rfam family: Bacterial small subunit ribosomal RNA
Source: RNAcentral